GAUUCUCUGGGAUGCGCGACCGACGCCGACGAAACCCUCGCCGACACCAAGAGUCUAACAACCUCGCGUAACGUCGUGGUGAGCAGGACCGCCCGGCAGCGGGAAGCCUAAAGCGCCGUUUAGAGGCCAGUCCUUCUGAUGAAGGGCGAGAAUUUCCAACGCGACGUCGGCAUCCUGGAGACCAG
RNAcentral lists this non-coding RNA (185 nucleotides) under Geoalkalibacter halelectricus. Its description in RNAcentral is "6S RNA". It matches the Rfam family "6S / SsrS RNA". From Rfam's summary of the family: E. coli 6S RNA was the first non coding RNA to be sequenced, but its function was unknown until recently. It consists of 184 nucleotides that fold into an extended hairpin structure with a large single-stranded internal bulge. Lineage: Bacteria; Pseudomonadati; Thermodesulfobacteriota; Desulfuromonadia; Desulfuromonadales; Geoalkalibacteraceae. The record is from RNAcentral.